CCUACGGGUGGCAGCAGUGAGGAAUAUUGGUCAAUGGGCGCGAGCCUGAACCAGCCAAGUCGCGUGAGGGAAGACGGUCCUAUGGAUUGUAAACCUCUUUUGUCGGGGAGCAAAAGGCGCCACUCGUGGCGUUCCGAGAGUACCCGAAGAAAAAGCAGCGGCUAACUCCGUGCCAACAGCAGCGGUAAUACGGAGGAUGCGAGCGUUACCCGUAUUUAUUGGGUUUAACAGGUGCGUAGGCGGUUUGAUAAGUUAGAGGUGAAAUACCGGUACUCAACACCGGAACUGCCUCUAAUACUGUUGAACUAGAGAGUAGUUGCGGUAGGCGGAAUGUAUGGUGUAGCGGUGAAAUGCUUAGAGAUCAUACAGAACACCGAUUGCGAAGGCAGCUUACCAAACUAUAUCUGACGUUGAGGCACGAAAGCGUGGGUAGCAAACAGGAUUAGAUACCCUGGUAGUC
RNAcentral lists this ribosomal RNA (460 nucleotides) under uncultured bacterium. RNAcentral describes it as "partial 16S ribosomal RNA". It matches the Rfam family "Bacterial small subunit ribosomal RNA", at positions 338 to 795 of the family's 1533-position model. The record is from RNAcentral.